AGUAUCGUAGCCUAUGAGGUUUAUCCGAGGCGCGAUUAUUGCUAGUUGAAAACUUUACCCAAUACCCCGCCUUGACGACUUGAAAUAUAGUCGGCAAUGGCAAUUUUUGACGGUCUCUAAGGAGACUGAUAAGUCUGUUAACUGAAACUAAAAUAACGACGGCAGAGUCAACGUCUUACAGCGUUGCAUUGGUACUUGAUUCUUCCUCCCAGCGAUAAUUUCGAGCAUUUAGAUGCUGUUGUACACAGUCGCCGGGUCAUGGAGCAAUGUACUCAAAGGAACAGCAGAGGGCGGUGUUCAACAGGAUAUGGAAACAAUAGUUUGACAGAUGUGGAGGAAAACGCCGUCCCGUCAUGGAAAGUAAUUCCCACUCGUACUCUGAUGUUUAUAAACCACAUUCUACACAAACAUGGUUGAUAAUAAAAUGGCACUGUCUAAAAUAUUAA
Long non-coding RNA from Gasterosteus aculeatus aculeatus (three-spined stickleback), 446 nucleotides. RefSeq lists it as uncharacterized. The record is from RefSeq and is a predicted model, not a curated record. Lineage: Eukaryota; Metazoa; Chordata; Actinopteri; Perciformes; Gasterosteidae.